Long non-coding RNA from Pantherophis guttatus, 709 nucleotides. RefSeq lists it as uncharacterized. Lineage: Eukaryota; Metazoa; Chordata; Lepidosauria; Squamata; Colubridae. The record is from RefSeq and is a predicted model, not a curated record.
UGCCGGUAUUCAAAUGGCAACCGGCUCAACUGUCAAUGUGAGCGCGAGGCUCAACUGUAAGGCAGAGAUAAAAUUCCAACAGUUAAAAGCUGUUAAGAUUGGUCAUGUGAAGGACAGCCUCUGGAAUUUUUUUAAUGUUCAAAGAAGUAGAAAGCAUGAAGCAAUAUUGACAAUGUAUUCAUCAGCAGGAAAAGAACUGGCCAUGGAAGGAAGUAGACAUUGCCCCCAAAAUAUAAGAAAUGUCUGCCUACAAUGAAAUGAAGCACAGAAGAUGAAGCAAUCUUGAGCCACCAGAUGUUAGACAACACUAGCUGAAAUAGAUGGGUGGAGAUUACUUACUUAAUGGACUAUUAAAUGAGAAAUUCCUGUAUUGCUGCACUGCAUACACUGUAGAUUUGGACUACAUAUUCUCCAAGAUCCAUUCUAAUUUAUGGAAUAUCAGUGAUCGCUUUGGCACUUUACUUCUCAUGAGGAAACUAGCAAUAAGACGGACCUUCUUUUGAAUAAUGUGAAGGGGGACAGCAUAAUGAAUAGAACAUCCUAAUGUAGAAUGGUGCAGUUGGGGGACCGUAGAUGAAGAAUGGAAAGUGAAGGCCAUAACAACAUCUGUAUACACAAGAGAGCCCCAUUAAAGUAGGACAUGGCUCCAGGAUUUCACUCUACAUUUUCAAAAAUAAUAUUUAUACCACAAAGAUUAAAAUCCCUGUGC